This 468-nucleotide ribosomal RNA is filed under the name uncultured bacterium. RNAcentral's name for it is "partial 16S ribosomal RNA". It matches the Rfam family "Bacterial small subunit ribosomal RNA", at positions 29 to 507 of the family's 1533-position model. The record is from RNAcentral.
AACGAACGCUGGCGGUGUGCUUAACACAUGCAAGUCGAACGGAACGGGCCUGCUUUUGUGUGCACCUCGAGGGGCAAGGGCGUGAGUAACACGUGACUCACCUCCACUUCAUUCUCAGUUACGUACAUGAAACUCGUGCUAAUACCGCACAGGAACCACUGCUGCGUACGGGUGCGUAGCGAGUUUCAGCGGUUGGGGAUGGACUCGCGGCUUAUCAGCUUGUUGGUGGGGUAGUGGCUUACCACGGCUUUGACGGGUAGCCGGCCUGAGAGGGUGACCGGCCACAUUGGGACUGAGAUACGGCCCAGACUCCUCCGGGAGGCAGCAGUGGGGAAUAUUGCACAAUGGGCGGAAGCCUGAUGCAGCAACGCCGCGUGCGGGAUGACGGCCUUCGGGUUGUAAACCGCUUUCGCCUGUGACGAAGCGUGAGUGACGGUAAUGGGUAAAGAAGCACCGGCUAACUACGUG